This 791-nucleotide ribosomal RNA is filed under the name uncultured Mycobacteriaceae bacterium. Its description in RNAcentral is "SSU rRNA". It matches the Rfam family "Bacterial small subunit ribosomal RNA", at positions 74 to 867 of the family's 1533-position model. Lineage: Bacteria; Bacillati; Actinomycetota; Actinomycetes; Mycobacteriales; Mycobacteriaceae. The record is from RNAcentral.
GCCCCUUCGGGGGUAUCGAGUGGCGAACGGGUGAGUAACACGUGGGCAAUCUGCCCUGCACUUCGGGAUAAGCCUGGGAAACUGGGUCUAAUACCGGAUAGGACCUUUAGGCGCAUGUCUUUAGGUGGAAAGCUUUUGCGGUGUGGGAUGGGCCCGCGGCCUAUCAGCUUGUUAGUGGGGUGAUGGCCUACCAAGGCGACGACGGGUAGCCGGCCUGAGAGGGUGUCCGGCCACACUGGGACUGAGAUACGGCCCAGACUCCUACGGGAGGCAGCAGUGGGGAAUAUUGCACAAUGGGCGCAAGCCUGAUGCAGCGACGCCGCGUGGGGGAUGACGGCCUUCGGGUUGUAAACCUCUUUCACCAUCGACGAAGGUCCGGGUUUUCUCGGAUUGACGGUAGGUGGAGAAGAAGCACCGGCCAACUACGUGCCAGCAGCCGCGGUAAUACGUAGGGUGCGAGCGUUGUCCGGAAUUACUGGGCGUAAAGAGCUCGUAGGUGGUUUGUCGCGUUGUUCGUGAAAUCUCACGGCUUAACUGUGAGCGUGCGGGCGAUACGGGCAGACUAGAGUACUGCAGGGGAGACUGGAAUUCCUGGUGUAGCGGUGGAAUGCGCAGAUAUCAGGAGGAACACCGGUGGCGAAGGCGGGUCUCUGGGCAGUAACUGACGCUGAGGAGCGAAAGCGUGGGGAGCGAACAGGAUUAGAUACCCUGGUAGUCCACGCCGUAAACGGUGGGUACUAGGUGUGGGUUUCCUUCCUUGGGAUCCGUGCCGUAGCUAACGCAUUAAGUAC